Molecule: transfer RNA, 59 nt
Filed under: Biomphalaria straminea
Lineage: Eukaryota; Metazoa; Mollusca; Gastropoda; Planorbidae
Description: tRNA-Cys
Source: RNAcentral
AAAACUAGUUUAUUUAAAAUUUUUGAUUGCAAGUCAAAAGAUGAGUAUCAUUCGUUUUU